Molecule: long non-coding RNA, 40755 nt
Filed under: Medicago truncatula (barrel medic)
Lineage: Eukaryota; Viridiplantae; Streptophyta; Magnoliopsida; Fabales; Fabaceae
Source: RNAcentral
GAGGAAUGGCAGGAGCUGUGUUAACGAGUUGAGAGAUUUUCUCAUCCAAUGUGAGCCGUGACACGAUGUCUUUUGCUCUUUGAGUGAUGGUAAGGUUGAGAUUGCAGAAUGGAAAGGAUUUUGUAAGUGGGUUGGAGGUGUCACAGGAGUAAGGGGGUACAUUAGUAGCAAGUGAAUCGGCAUGAACGAGUCGGUGGUAGCGAGUUAAGAAGAGAAAAAUGAAAGUAAUGGUGAUGGAAAAGUGACCCAUGCUGUGAGGGAUGUAUGCAACGUGCUAAACAGAGUACAGAGCAUGUGUAUUUAUAUAGGUACAUGUGUCUGUCUUUGAUUUGGACUGAUACUUACGUGUGUCUGUUUUUAGCCUCUUUUUCAUUCUUUGACUAAUUUUUCUGAGAUUUGGUUUCUAUUUUGUUCGUUAAACUAACCAGCGAGAUUGCCAUAUGUCACGCACUGAUUCACUUAAUCAAACUCAGCCACCAAACGUACAAACGUUGUAAAUCUCAGAACCAAGUAUACGUUGGAAAAAUAAGUUGGAAAAAAAAAACUUGGAUUUAUAUGUUAAGGUGAUUGAUGAAGCAAGCAUACAUAAGUGCAAUCAGCAUUAGUCGGUAAAAUGCAUAAUAGGUUGCAUCAGCGGGGGUAAAGAUAUUAUUAUGUAAGAUGUUGUUUGAUUUGUUUUAUUUUUAAAAUAAUAAAUUUUUAUAAUUUUUUACUUUAAAUAAUUAAAAUAUUAUCGGUUAAAAUUGUGUAUUGACAUAUGUGAACAGAUUGACUUGAACAUGUAUUUUGAAACGGAUGGAGUAUAUCAUAAUCAAAUAAAUACAAACAUAAAAAAAAAUAUAAAAUUUAUACCUAUUAAUAAAGAUUAUGACAUAAUAUCAUCAACUCUGUUUGCAUGUUAAAGAUACCAACAAUAAAAUAGUACCUGUAAAUCCAAGAUGUUGAAAGCAUUACUAGAUGAAUUACUAUUGAUCAUUAAUCAGUAAUCAACAAUUUAAAAAUGAAUUAAACAUUAAGAUCAAAAUUAACUUUUCCAGAAAAGUCAGUUUCCUGACUGCAUCGUAGAAGCUCCCUUUUUUUAAUACCUAAACGCCCUUUUUCAAUUAUAUUUUUCACACUAUUAACUUCUCAUCACACACAAUCAAUUAAUUUUUAACCCCGGUUACUUACUUCCCAUUAACUUCUCACCUCGCACAAUUGUUAAUGAGAAUUGCUGUUUACACUUUACAUAAGGCUGUGCCACACAAGUAUUUUACUCUUUUGCCCCCUCAGCAGUAAACUGCCGAGGAAUUUGAAAUCCGACUGCAGUUAACUACCGAGGAAAACCUCGGUAGUAAACUGCCGAGGAAAACUGAUUAUGCAGACAACAAGUUCUGCAUAAUUCUAAACAUUUCCAAGCCAUUUUUUCGGCCAGUUUUUACCUGUAAUUAAACCAGAGCAUUUCCAAAGGCAAAAUAAUUCAUACAAGAUUGAAACUCGGACAUAAACAAGAUAAAUACAAUAUCUUAUACAAUUGUUCAUAAUUAAAUUAAACCGACAUUUGGUUAAAAUUAAACAAACGUUUGAAAUUCAUCAAAACAUUACAAAGUGUUCAUAAUUAAACAACUCAUUACACAUCAUUAAAUUAAAUCCCUACUUACAUUCAACGCAAUUGCAUAUGGAACGAACAUACAUAUAUAAUAUAUUAUUUUCCACCAUAUUCUGAAACAUAAAUCCGACGUCGACGUCGUCGCGAAUAAGCAAAGGCAUAUCGCUUGCUGUUUUCCACGCGUAUUCAUCUCUAUCUUCUCCUAGGGCUAUGCAUGGCAUUUGACCAAACAAGUGACGUGUAUAUUGAUUUUCACCAAGAUGCUCAAAAUAAGUGUUAAGUUGUGCCUUCAAAUUGUCAAGAGAGUCCGUCAGCGUUAUUGAUAAGAUAAAACCGCAAGUGCACGGUCUUACCGAAGUAGUAUGAAAAGAGUAUCGUUCCGACAGGGAAUAGUUUAAUUGAAUUAACCUUUGACAAUGAUUAGAGGAGAAAAGAGUUGUAAGUUGGGGUUUUCAAGCAAUUGAAAGAUAAUAAUAAUAAAAGGAGCAUUGGGAUCAUUGGUUCAUCUAAAUAACAAGUCCUUCACAAACCAAACUAUAAGCUUAUAACUUUAUGUUAGACCUAAUUUCUCAAGACAGUUUCUAUUGUGUUCCUUUAGCAACCAAGCCUAUUUCGAUGACCUGAUUACUAUUAGAUUUUGGUUCCUCUAACAACCAAGCCUAUUUCGCUGACUUGAUCAUUAUUAGUUCCCUUGAAGAUCGAAACUAUAUGUCUCAAAGAUUGCAAAGACUAUUUCGCUGCCUUUGCAAUCCUUGUCUAAAUUCACUUGUUCGAAUAUCAAAGCUCCACUUUCGUUUUAUGAAUUGAUAUUUGAGAUAAUGGAUAAACAAUUAUCAAACCCUCCACUUUCGUUUCCACAGUUUGAUAAUGGUUGAUCCAUGUUAAAGCGGUGAAUUUAGAUAAGAAAUUAGGGUUACAUAAGAUUAAGGCUUAGAGCUUGGCUUGAUUAGGAUUAUGUCAUUUAGACUUAUCCAACAAUCCCAAGACAAAGAGAAGUCUACUCACUCAUGUUCAUCGUAGACAUGGGGAAGAAGAGAGAAAGCAUAAAAGUAAAUGACAAGAAAAUAAAGGAAAAGGAAAGAACUUUUAUUAGAAAAGCAAUUGUCACUUAUUGAAUUCCAAGAAAAGAUGAAUAUUUGUGAUGGAUAGCUACUCUAUUUAUAGCAUACAUUCGACUUAAAAUCUAAGCAAUUACAUUACUGGAAUGUUCCACAAGAAACUACGGGCUAAAAUAGAGUAGCUUAAAAUCUAAGCAAAAGCAGCAAAAGUGACUCUGGAGGGUGGCACGGCCGUGCCAAUGCUAGCACGUGUCGUGCCAAGCUUCUGACUUUGGGGAGACAUAUUUUUGUCUCUGAAUCUUCGUAUUUUCGUACUAAAUCAGCUCCAAGUCCCUUUCUUUUGCUACAAGACUCAAUCCAUCCAAUAUUCGUUCCUGAAAUAUAAUAAAGUGCAAUUUGUAGUAAACUAACUCAAAAAAGAAAUAAUACUAAUAUAAAAUAGAAUCUAUUUAAAACUAAACUAAAUAACAUAUAAAAAUAGAUAUUAAAUCACUCAUCAGUUAUCAUAACCUUAACCGUCUUUUUAAACGCGGAGUACCUAACACGCCCUUCAAUUUGUGCAACCUCAGACAUGUCUCACUUGAAAAAAGCUUUAAGAAAAGAAUCAUAUAUUAGAACAAAAUUAAAUGGAAUGUAAUAAUGAAUAAAUCAAAUGCGUAAACAUUAAUAAGCUAUAAAUAAGUAUUGCAUUAGUUUCACCACAUAAAAGUCAUAUUAUCAUAUAUAUAUAUAUAUAUAUAUAUAUAUAUUAGUUAUAUAUUGGCCACAAAAAAUUGGCGUUACAAUUUCGACCCCAAAAUAUACUUUGGUGUAAUUUCUACCAAAAAAAAGGACUAACACCGACAAAAAAUCACUCAUUAAAGACCAAGUGAUUGGAGAAGAUCAAGUGACAUAGAAUCUUCCUCAUCUUCCGCAAUAACAUCAAAUUGUUGCUUUGGUUUUUCGGGAGUGUCCAACAAAAUAGGCGCCGCUUUGUUUGACUCCUUUUGUGGUUUGGACGGUUUGUUUCCACUUUCAAUAGCCAUGAGCUUUCGGAACAACUCAUGUUGAUCCAAAUACUCAUCUUCCCAAGUCACCGUAUCUUCUUUUUUGUGAUUGUGCCAAUCCGUAGAUGAUGGAGGUAGUGGACAACCAUUCUUCAAAUAAAUAAACACGAAAUGAUUCGGAAUUGCCCCAAGGCACAAGAUGGGAGUUUUUUGAUUACCCGGCGGUGGUGGCCCUCUUAGUGGGAAAAAAGAUUCAGAGUUUCCAACUUCAAGAUUUGUCAACAUGACCACACACAUUUUGUAAUAAUUAGCAACAAUGUGUCCCAUCUCCGGAAAAGUCAACCACUUAUCAACAAGAUGUGCACAAGUUUUUGUAUUUGCGGGAGGAUGUAAGCCGUUUAAAAUGUAGUUAUAACGAUCCUCACCCGCAAAUACUUCAACAUAAUCAUCUUUAUGAUCUAUCAACUCUUGAAUAAGAUGUGUACGGAUCAUGAGAUGAUUUUUUUCAGUCAAGCCCAUGAACUCGGCUAUAGCCCGGAAUCCACAAUGUCCAUCGCCGAUAACAUCCAUCACUUUUUCAAUAAAUGGAAGCAUGAAGUGUGGCAUAUAAUCAAUAGGACGCAUAACCGGGAUAGCCUUAGGCUUUGGAUACCGAGUAGGUGGUGGAAGUGGGGAAAGUGAUGUUUUACCAAGACGAGUACCUUUUUUUCUUUUAUACGAUGAUGUUGUUGGUGAUGGUGACGGUUGGCUAUCUGGAUUUUGGGAAUCAACAACCUCCCACGAAGAAGGGAUCCGACUAGUCGAUGUAAUUUUUCCUUUAGACCUCGCAAUGUCGAAUUUUUUCUUUGCUCCCUUGGUUGGUACUUUUCGUGGUGGUGGAGACAUCAAGGUGGUUUCAGGAAAUGCCAACUGCCGUAAACCCUCUUUGACCUCAAGCUUCAUUUGGAAAGGGAGUUUCUUUAGACGUUCUACAAUAGCCUUCAACUCAACCUCGACACAAAAAGCAUCUUCGUUACUUUCUUCACCCAUAGAUAACCUAAGCCAAUGGUGGUAUAUCUCAUCCAAUAAAAUUGGCUUCUCUUCAAGGAGCUUAGUAGCAAUUUCGCAUGCACUUGGUAGCCCGUAAGAUGUCCUUUGAACACAACCACAAAUGUCAUUGUCCAUGCACAAUGUUUCUGAUAAGUGCUAGAAAGUUGUAUUUUAAGUGAUAUAUUUUAGGCACUUUUGUUACUUGUUUUGCAAGUUAUUGAGGGAAAAGCCGAGAAAUAAGUGAUUAUUGCCCUUUUACGCUUUAUCUAUCUUACUUCACCCAUUUGUGCAGGAUUCGAACUCAAGACAUCAAGCAAAGAGAAGAAAAUGGAGAAGAGUACAAAAAGGUAGAAAAAUGAGAUCACUCGCCUCCAACUUGCCAUGGCAAGCAUCAAAGGCGAGCAAUUCCAGUAAGCAUCAAAGAUCCUUCGCCUCCACCUCGCCAUGGCAAGCAUCAAAGGCGAGCAAUUCCAGUAAGCAUCAAAGAUCUUUCGCCACCAACUCGCAAUGGCGAGUGGAAGGCGAGAAAACUCGCCAUGGCGAGUGGAAUGACUCGCGAGGCGAGUUAGGGCGGUUUAGCCUCUCACAGCUGACGUGGCACAAACCCAAUGGCGAAGGAACCUCAACUCGCCAUGGCGAAUGAAUGAGCUCGCGAGGCGAGUUGAUGCAGAGUCAGAAUUGUAUAAAUAGCCCACUCAACCAUUUCAUUGAUAUAUAGUUUUUACUUAGUUUUUCUCUGAGUUUUUUUCACUUGUAAUGUUUCUAGAGAGAUAGAUAGGGCUUGUUCUUCAUAGAGUGAGAGUGAUAGAGAGUGGAUUCUUCAUUCUUUGUUGAGAAAUCACAAGUUGUAAAUGAAUCUUUCUCCUUCAAUUCAUUCUUGCAAGGCUUCCAUGACAAUGAGUAGCUAAAUCUCCUUUGUUGGGAUUAGAGGUACUUGAUCUUAGCUUAACAUGUAAUCUUUUGAUCUAUAAAUAUAUGGUUCUAGCAUUUGAUUUGAUAUUGAUGUUAUUCUUGCACUUUAAUCUUUAUCUUUGAUUUAAUUGUGAUUGAGAAAUACUUUUGAAUCUAGGUUUAGAAUAACCAUCUAUCAAAACAUAGGUUCUAGACAUGGAAUCGAUGUUUUGAUAAUCACUUUGUGUAUCCAAACCUAAAGCUUUCUUAGCAUUCAAUAGAUCGAGAAAUCAUCGAUUGGACGAUAAGAUCGACUCUUGAAUCAUUCAAUAGUUUGAGACAUCGACGAUUGAAUGAUACAAUUGAUUUCACAAUAUUGUUUGGACACGAAUAGUGUUGUCGAGGGAUACGUGAUAAUAUCAAAGAAAAGCUAGAAUCGAUGUAUGAUCAUUAGGUUACGUGCGACGCUUGAUCAAGGAACUCUAAUCCUAACAAGUUUCACGCCCUAUUAAUCUCAAUUUUAUCGUUUGCAAAUGAGUUACUAAAACAAACAACCAAUUAUCUUUUUAACUUGGAAUGGUAUUUGGUGUCGAACGGUCCGCGAUAUCGCACUAGUCCCUGAGGAGACGAUAUAAAUACUUACAAUUGUUUGAUGCAAAAAUACUACAUCAGUUUCCCUACAACGUGUCUCUUCCAAAGCAAUGUUGUCCAAAACAUAUCUAGACACAUGACCACCUAACCCCGAGUACAAAGUGACAUCUUUGAAUCUAUGUUCCAACACGCUAACGCUGUGACCAAAGGAUGUCUGUAUAGCAGUGAACUGAAGCAACAACAUGCCAUGUAUUUUCUCCCAACAACUACCCAAAUCACCCACACUAUUGUCCAAGUAUUUCUUCAAUAAAGCAUGAGCCGAUUCGACCAUGUUCGUGGUCCUGCAACCAAGAUGCAACACAUGGUCUGUCCAUGCCCUCACAAUUUUGUCCUUCACUUCAUUCAAGGUAGUCAUGGCAUAAUUUUCAAAAAUUGGGAAAUCACUACAUGAAUCUUUGAACUCCACUAAUGCAUUUGCAUAUAAAUGUUGAGUGGCCGAUUCAACCAUAGCUUUCCAUGCCUUCAUUAUCUUCUUGACAACAUCGCGAUUGCUCGCCUCUUUCCCAUCCUUUUUAAAACCCAAAGGAUAUUUACAAUCUAAGACACACCUUUGUUUAACAUUUGCUUGCACAUGAAAGUAACAAUUCAUUGCAUAACUUUCGGGAAAAACAUGUGCAACCGCUUUCAUCAAAGACAUAUCCCUGUCGGUAACAAUCACCUUAGGCAUAUUCAUCUUUGACGAAAGAAGUUUACGCAACAUUUUUAAAACCCAAAAAAAGUUUUCCUCUUUCUCAUGUGUCAUAAAUCCAAACUCACCCGAAUAUGUCAAAUCGGUCGAAGUGACCCCAACUACCUCAAGCAUUGGCAUCCUAUACAUGUUGGUUUUGUAGGUGGAGUCCAUAACCAAAACCGUUGGAAAAUUGUUAAACAACUUAAUGGAUGUUGGAUGAGCCCAAAAGAUAUCUUCGAUUGUAGUACUCUCACUUUGUGUUCUUGAGUAAUAAGUAUAGUUGUGCUCCUCCAACAUAUAUAGAUAUUAGAUAUUGCAACGGCUUCUUGUCACCUCUAUUUGCCUUCCAUAUUUGUUGACGUUCAUUGUACACUUGCUUCACAUUUGUCAUGCAAUGUGGUCUUUUGUUUUUCAAAUGUAUCAAAAUAUUUCUUGGAAGCAUCUUGCUCUUGGUCAAGUCACGUACAAUCUUCUUGUCGUCCUCCUUUAAUCUACCGGCAAGAAUGUGUCCUUCUAAAGCCGGCUCCAUGGGAUGGUUGUGAACUCCAUUAAGAAUGUUCAAUCCCCAUUCCUUUGUUUGCUUACUUUGAUAUCCACUAAUCAUGAACAAGCACCCACAUUUUCUUGAGCCCGUUCUCGCAUGCUUCGGUUUUUUUUUCAGCACUUUGUGAGUUCCACUCCUUUCACACACUAGCCGGAACAUUGGAUUGAUCAAGCUUGAUCUUUGUGUGACAAUUGUAAAUCCCGCCUUAUUUUCUUGUCGACGCACUCACUCAAGCAAUUCAUCUCUAUUUUUCGACUUAACGUCGUUUGAAAAAACCUAGCCGUGUCGACCUCGUGGGCUUGAAGUGGGAGGACACCGGAGCCGCCAACAUACUUUGAAGCUUCAACAUGGACGGAAGCUCCAUCAAUGUUUGGUUUCGCUUCAACUUUAGGCGGUUUGACAUCUCCGGAAUUUUCGACAAAAUUUUGUUUUCUCUCUCCCGGAACAUUUUUCGCGUUCUCUACCAUUACUAUAAUUAAACAACACAUAAAUAUGAAUUAACAACUAAGUAAUGUAUAAACAUCAAUGCCAUAAUGAAUUAAAACAAAAAAAAAAAACAAAAGAAAAAAAAAUUUGAAAAACUGGCAGUAGCUGCCAUUUUUUCGCUGUGAAAAUUUUUCACAAGAGUUCCUCGACACCUUACUACCGAGGUUUUCCUCGGCACUACACUGACUGCCGAGGAUUCCCAUGACAGGGUUCUACGUAACUGACGUAGAUACCCAUAAAAUACCCAAAAAAUCAAUCGAAUAAAAUGCACAAUACCUGUUUUUACGUCAAAAGUGUGUUGAUACCUCCUAUGCUUGAUGCUUGAAUGAUUUUGGAUCAAGAAUUGAUUAAAAAAAAUUGGAUUUUGGGAUUGAAUGGAGGUGGAAAUGAAGGUGAUGAAGAAAAUAGCGUGUAGGGGGAGCAGGUGGCUGUUUCAUCGGAUGAAACAUUUCCUCGGCAGUUAACUACCGAGGAUUUCCUGGGCAGUUAACUGCAGCCGGAGUUCAAAUUCCUCGGUAGUUAACUGCCGAAGGGGUAAAAUAAUAUUUUACUAGUGUGGCACAACCUUAUCACAUGUGGGAACAACAAUUCUCAUUGUUAAUAACUACUUCCUCACUCUGAUUUCGCAAACACACAUUUGCUCCUACAGUCAUCAAUUCUAUCAUUUUUUUUAUUAACAACUUCUCUAUCUAUUGUUCCUGUUAACAAAAAAAUUUCUCUAUCCAUUGUUAUUCUUAUCUCUCCAUUAAUUCAUUUCAUGCUCAACCAUUUUUACUCAAAAAAAUAGGACAUUUCAUCAGGAAUAAUGUUGUCAACUUACAGUAAAUCAUUCGUACUUCCUACAAUUGUAUGUACAUGACUUUAUUCUCUCAACACCUGAAAAAACUUUCGGUUCUUCUAUUUUUUCUUUCCUUUCAAUUUUCCAAUAUCACUUUUAUACUCUUUUAUUUCUUCUCUGUAUACAUUCUUCUAUCUCUUUGGUUAUGAAGCUUCUUACUUAAAAUUGUUGCUAAUCUCUCUAUACCUUUUUUUUUUUUAUUGUUGUUAAUCACUCUUUUUUUCUUCCUUUCUUAAAGUAAUUUUUUUUCCUAAAAUUAUCUCAUCCAUUGAUUUUCGGAAAAAAUCUUUUAGGGGGUGUUUGUUUCAAGGUUAAGAAUGACAUUCCCGGGAAUACAUGGCUAGGGAAUGAUUAUACCCAUGUUUGUUAUGAGGUUGAGAAAAAAAUAUUCCUGGGUAUAAAGGUUCCUAGGAAUGGAGUAACUUCCUAUAACUUCCAUUAUUCCCAUGAAUAUAUUCCCAUAUAAAGAGAUGGGAAUGUGCAUUCCCAUGAUAUUAUGCAUAGAUUUAAAAAAAAAAAAUUGUAACUUCCAAUUUUUUCAGGAAUGUCAAGUUAUUUGCCAAACACUUUUUUUAACAAAUACCCAAGAAUCAAAUUUUCAUAUUUUCAUUCCCGGGUAUGUUAUUCCUGGGAAUAAUUUGUGUUUCCCAAAAACAAACGCCCCCUUAGUAACCGGUUUUUUUUUUUUGGAAACUAAACUGUUGAAUUUGGUAUCUUUUUUCAAUUUAAUGGAAACAAAAUUGUAGUAAUUUACUUCCUUAAAAAAAACUGUAGUAAUUUACUCUCUCCCUCUUUUUCUCAAUUUCUAUCUCAAACUAUUCCAUCAUGAACUUAUUUUAAUCAUCAGUUUUUUAUACUUGCUUCAUUUAUUAUUGAAGUACAAAUACAUAAUUGGGUGAUAUGUUUUUUGAAUUUUCACUUUGUUCUGAAAUAUUUUUACCCAAAAAAAUAGUUUUAAAACUUCAAUGAAAUGUUUUGCAUCUACUUGAAGACCCAUAUAGAAGGAACUUUAAUGAAAUGUACUAUGUCUUUGAAUAAUUUUUCUAUACUAAUGCAGUUGUAGAAUUUCCAUUUUAGUGGGGUUAAGGAUGAAUUACGAAUUCAUAUUAGAACUCUGCUCUUCUCCCAUCACAUUUUGCUCGCGUCCAGCAUAAUUUUCAGUUAUACCCUUGCGUGAUUUAAGUCAUACACCACUGGCCUAGGCGUGAGUUAACUCACGCACGUUGGCUGGUGGUCUGAGUUCAUGAACAAACGAUUUUUGGACGGUGGUCAGGUUUUUAACCUUCAAUCUACACGUUUUUUUUACAACUUCUACACGUUUUUUUUUAUCACAUUUAUGGUGGUUAUAACCUAUACUACCAUUCCCACCUAUAAAUACCCCUCCAUACUUCCCUAUUUUCUCACACCAUAUCACUUUCUCUCCCUCCUCACUCUCUCCCUCUAUUUCUCUUCUUUUUUUUCUUCAGUAGUCUCUAGUCACUUGCGGUAAAUGGUGGCCAGUUAUGAGGUAAAUGGUGAGUACCCAACUUGGAGGAAGUGAUCAACCCUUGGGAUAAAAUUAACUUUGCUUCUUUUUACCCCAAAAACUUUUUACCGUGGGUAAAAAGAAUCUUCUUAGGGUAUAAAAAGAACCAGAUUUAGAUGUAGCGCAAGGGUUGAUGAUGUAUUUUCCCCAAGAAGGAUGCUCACUAUUUACCCCAAGACUGAUCAUUAUUUACUCCAAGAGGGUAAAAAGAAAAUAAGUAUAUUUAGUGAAUUCGAAUAAAUGUUUCAAUUAUUGUAUGAAUUCUAUUAAUAAGAUGAGAUGUUGUUAUAUGUAUUAAUUUUGUUCAUUUCUUUUUAUUUAUAUUUGCUUUUAUUUUCUGAUUUUGUAUUUAAUGAAUAAAUCCGAAUAAAUAUUAAUUUAGUUCAUUUCUUUUUAUUUAUAUUUGUAUUUAUUUGAUGAAUAAAUUCGAAUAAAUAUUUAUUUUAAGUACAAGCGUUAGUUAACUUACGUUCAAGACUUAUCAUUCAACUAUUAAUGGUGUUGAGGUUGUACGUGGUUAGAUAAGAUGAUUUUAUACUAUUUCACAUCCACACCUCAUACUUCUGGACGAGGAUCUUCAUGUUCUGAGGUCAACUGAGUAGGAGGCCCUUGAUGAGAUUGCUGCUGAGCAGAAGGGAGAGCAUGGGUAACUAGAGCUGAACGGAAUGUUGGGUCGUAUCAGAGACCGUGUCUUAUAUGUUAUGGGUAGUGGUGUGGUGGAUAGAGGGAGCGUUGAAUGAGAGUUUAGAAGCAAUUUUGCAAGAGGUUUCAUGGAGGGCGGGUUUAUCGUUGUAGACGUGGUAGGUGUUGUAACAGCCCGACUUUUAGCUAGAUUUAUUUUAAUUAUUUUUAUUAUGUGUUUGUGUGUGAUUAUUUGUGCUUGUGUGUAAUUAAUUGUCAUCUGGUGCAUUUACGUGGGUUUUCGUAUUAGAAGGGUAGUUUGGUAAUUUUGUGAGGAUGAGUAAAAUUAUAAUUUAGUGGGAAUUGCUUUUAGUAAUUAGUGAGAAUGGUUAUUUCAUUAAGUUACUAGAGAAAGUCGAGAUUUUACCGUUAGUGACAUUUUACCGUUAUUAAUUAAAAUAUCGUUUGGAGUGUAGUAAUAUUUUUGGUUUGAAUAGAAACGGGUUAAGCCCACUAGAAACUAAGUUAAGCCCAUUAGUAGAGAUAACACUAGGGUAGUGUUAGAAGAACCAAUUCAUUUCAUUUUCACAAACAUUUCUAGAGAGAGAAAGUGGGAAGAGAAGAUAAGGGUUUGGAGAGAAGGACUUGAAGAAUCCAAUUGGGAAAGCUUAGGAGCUAAAUUAAAGCCUAGGUUUGGUCUAAUCUUCAUCUAAGGUAAGGGGGUUAGUCUUUAUCAUAAUCAUGUUCAUUCUUUGCAAUUUUUCAUGAUUUGGAUGAAAUGGGUUGAAAUGAAUGAACGGAUAAUUGUUGCUAAAUUCGUGCUCCAACUUUGAUGAUAUGUUUGUAUGCAUGAAUUGAUGAUAAUUGUAUGAUUGUUGGUUAAAUUAUAUGUUUGAAUAUGUGAAAAUGAAAAGUUAUGAAAAUUGUGCAAAAUGGAUGAAUUGACAUGUUGUUGUUGAAUUAUGAUGGAGGGUAUGAUUAUAUGUUAUGAUUGUAGUUGAUUGAUGAUGUUGAUCUCAUUUCAUGACUUGGGUAUGAUUUAUGUUGAGAUGUUGUUGAGAAUUGUGUUGAAUUUGAAUAGAUGAAUUGUGGUUGUUUGAGAACUUAUUGUUUUGAGAAAAAAUUAUUUUAAACAAUUUCAUAACUUAUGCAAAUGCCCCGAAACGAGCGAGUUCGAUGUGUUAGAGCCUCGGGUUAUGCCUCGGAUCACUUUUGAUGAUUGAGGAUUUUAAACGUUCGAUUUUUGAUCGAAAUUGGCGAAAACCCGCGGCCGAGACACGCGAAAACGCGCGUUUACGGAGCGCUGGGCGCUCACUUACAGGGAGUCAGCGGGAACGUUGUUCCGUGUCCGGGUGCUUGGGGGUGGUCAUGCAGGGGUCCUAGGCGAUCGUUUUGAAGUGUUCUUUUGCUGUUUUCACCUACUUUUCUACUGGAACACGUUUGGCUUUGUCGGAACUUUAAUUUUCUAAAUGGUUUGAAACUUGAGUUUGUGUCGUUUCGGUUUUUCGGAAAUUGUUGGAACUUGGUCUUGGUGAACAAAAGGAGUUGCAAGCUUAGUCUACAGUUCUUAUGGGCUUAGGCAAUGCUUGUAAGGUUGGUACAAUGUCGUAAUCAUGUCAAACUUGAUUUUCGGGUGGGAAUGUGGAAUGUAUAAACUUGGGAUUUUCUCAUACGAACUUAGGCUAACCUUUGAACUAAUGAUCGAUAGUUUGUAAGUGGCCUAUGCUCAUACUUAUAUGAUUGAUUAAGAUUGAAUUGUAGGAUUUCAAACUUGAAUAAGUUGCCUAGCUUUGAAAAUUAUCAAUGUUGGCCGUUUGCCACAUGAUUUGGAUUUUUGGCGGAAAUGUUUCUUUAGCAAAUUGUUUUGUGAGUUAUUGAGAUUAUUCUUGUAUGACUAAGUGAAGUUGUAUGAAUGAGUGAUUAUAUUUUGGAUACGAUGUUUAUCAUGAGAUGUUGUAUGUUCUCUUACUUGGAAUAUGAGAAUCCUUGAAUGGUGAAACUAUAUGUGAUAGUUGAUGUUGAAUGAUUAUAUGUUGAAUAUGAUAUCUAUCAUGAGAUGUUGUUUUUCCCUAUUACUUGGAAUAUGAGAAUGCUUGAAAUGGUGAAACUAUAUGAUAUAGUUGAUGUUGCUUGACAUUGUUAAUUAUUGAUAAUUAUGUUGAAGUGUGAUGGUGAAUACUAUGAUUUAAUUGUGUGUGGGCAUGUUUUCUUAGUAAUGCAAUGUUGAGGAGAUAAUCAAUAUAAUUGGGUGUUGUCCUAUAUAUUGAGUUGAGAUUGAGAAUUGUUGUCGCAUUAUCGAGUCAUUACACAUGUCCAUGCAUCAUAGUCGUUGUUGCUGUAAAAGGGAUGACUCUUUUACUUCGAGAUUAUUGUAAGGCAGAGGUGAGCCUUACAUGCGAUGUUGACUUGUCCAUCGAAGGUGACGACCUUAUAGAGAUUUGGUACCGCAUGCAUUUAUGUGUCCAUAAGUGCAUAUCAUAGCAUGAGUCCUAUGUGAAUUAUGUGAUUGGUGAUGAAUUGAGAUGAAUGAAUGUUGCUAAUGAUUGUCUGUAAAUGAUGUUGUGAAUGAAUAUUUAUGAUUGGAUAAUUAUUCAUGUGAUUGAUAUAUGUGGAUAUGAACUAGCAAGUUGUGAUAUAAGUAUUUAUGCAUGACUAUUAUUAUUCAAGUACAUGAUAUUAUUGAAUUUGAUUAUUAUCUGGAUUAUGAUAAUGUAAUGCUUACCCCCAGUGGUUUUAACCGCCUACUUGCCUGUAUGGGUGAGUAGACGUUGUGCAGGAGUAGUCUCGGUGAGUCUUUGCUUGGGUAUCGGGAGCUUCCUCCGAUAUCGGUGUCGUGUCGGCUCUGAUCUAGGCUUGUCAUGUCGGUCUAGAUUAGGCUGUUUAUAUUUUCAUUUGGAUUAUUAUUUUGUUGAUGACUACCCGUAUGUUUGGGUUUUGAGAUUUAUCUUUGGAAUAUGAUUUAUUUGCUCAUGGCAUGUAUAUAUUUGAUCACUCUGAUUUAUAUUCCGCUGUAACUGUCGAGGUUUACAUACAUGUCUAUCGGUUUUUGAAUUUUGAAUAAGACGUAAUCUCUAUUUCUUGAAUAAAUGUAUUAUUCGCAUGUUUAAUUGCUUUAAUAGAAAUAGGAGCGUUACAGGUGUGGCAGGGGUCUUAGAGCCACCUAAUAGUUUUAUGUUGUUGUAGUAGGGUAGUGGUGUGGUGGAUAGAGGGACCGUUGAAUGAGAGAGUUUAGAACCAAUUUUGCAAGAGGUUUCAUGGAAGGUGGAUUUAUCGUCGUAGACGUGGUAGGUGUGCAGGAGUCUUAGAGCUACCUAGUAGUUUUAUGUUGUUGUAGUAUUAUGUACAAAUUUAAUGUUUUUAAUUUUUAUGUUUGAAUAUUUGGUUUAACCUACGUAUAAUUUGUGUUUAAUUCAUACAAUCUAUGUCUAGUUUGUGUUGUUUAGUAUCAUUUUUUUAUAACUUCAUGAAUGCAUGUUUAUAUCAUAUAAUUAUAUAAUUUGUAUGUAUCAGAGAAAAAACAUAGAGUUUGUCUCUGUUCUGAUACCAUUUGAAUUAUAUAAUCAUUACGGUUUUAUAACAUUUUUUUUAUUAUAUAAUCUAAAAUGUGUCUUUUUUAAAACCACAAAUUGCUAUUCUGGAUGGUGACACUUUUCGGAUUAUGAAAGCUGAAAUAUUGUAAGGGGUUUAUGAUUUAUAUAAUCCGAAAUACAUGUUUUACUAAGACUAAUACAAGCAUUUCUAGGAUGCUUUGUCUUCCAACUGAUUUUAUAUUGUUGAGAUUAUAUAAUAAUCAUGUAUUUUGAAGAAAAAAAAUAGGGCACGUCAGAAUCAGAUAAGGUUCGUAGAGAAGCUCCUUACUCUUAUAGAUGGCAAGCUUGCUGUUUAACCCAGUUAUAUAGGAGACUACAUCUCACGCCAAGAUGAAUUAAUUGGCUUAUUGCAAUUAGUGGUGUCGAGCCUUCUUGACAAACUUUUCAAGAUGUUAGAAAGCCUUAGAUUAUACCUAUUGGGUCAUCAUUUACAAGUUUUGUUUUCUUUUCAAUGAAAACAAAUUAUAUUAAUGUCAAUAUGUCAUCUACUAGCUAACUUGAAAAUGGAGUGACAUGCAUAAUAUUAAUAAGAGUAUUUGAGUAAAAGAAUUUAAUUUAUCAUUAAACAAAUUUACUCAUUGGUUUUUAAAAAUAUAUACAUAACCUUAGAAGACAUGAGAUAUGCUGUGAAAGUGAUUCAAAAUUGGAGAAAUUGAGUUUGCCGAAGCUAUCAAAAUUGGAGCCCGAUUUGGAGAAAUCGGAGCAUGAUUUUUCGGAGCAGAAUUGACACUUUUAUUCAUAAAAAAUCGGAGCACGAUCUGGCAAAAUCGGAGCACGAUUUCGCGCAGAAGAAUAAAAAUAAAACGUAUUUUUAUGGGCCUAAUUUGGUUUCAAUUUAUGAAGGAUGCUUUUACUAUAAAUAUAGACAUUGUAUCAGUGUAAACCUUGAGAUAGAGGGGGCUGAAACAAGGGUUUAGAAAGACAACAACAAAACUAGGGAUUGUAUAGAGUUUGUCUCUUUGGAACAAACACUAGGGUUUGAGGGUUGAUUCACCUUGGGAAACACUAUUAGGAUUGAGUCUCUUGGUUACGGGAAGAGAUUAGGGCUUUGAGUAUAAUUAGGCGGGAGACUUAUUCUUGUAACACAUUGAUAUCUCUAUUGUAACGUUACUUAUCAUAUAGUGAAACGGAUGACUGCUCUCUCCCCCAGACUAGGUCAAUUUGGACCGAACUAGGUCAACAAAUUAUUUUGUGUUCUCUCUUCCUUUCUCUCUCGCUGUUUUCUACUUUUGGUUUGUGUUUAUAAUUGUUCCAUACACUUUGUUUUCAUUGCUUGACUAUCCCUUGCACCACACAUCAAAUUUAUUAUGGUGUGUUUUCUCAUCGAAUUCGCAACAAGAUGGAGGAUAGGGUAUACCAAAUAUAAAUUAUCAUGAUUAUAUUAUCAGGGCCAAUCAAGCUUUCCAUUACAUAAGUAGAGUCACAUUGCAAUUAACUCAUCAAGCUUUCCAUUAGUUAUUCUUUACUUGAUUGAAAAUUACUCAUUAUUACAUUUUUUUUACAAGUUUUUUUUUUUGUUUCACAAGUCACGAGAGGUGCAACACAAGGACUUUCCAAAAGGUCAUCCAUCUUAAUACUACUCUCGUCCAAAUACGCUUAACUGCGGAGUUCUGAUGGGAUCCGGUGCAUUAGUGCUGGUAUGAUCGCACCUAUUACUCAAUAUUACAUGGCAUCAAUUCAUCCAACAUGAUAUUUAUUGAGUACUCUUCCUGUCCCACAAGAAACAAAUAACCACCUUCUUCAAUCACCUUAACACCACUCUCAUUUGCUCUACUAAGAUGCUCACAAACACUAACUUCAAAUCCAACUUCACCCUUUCCACCUCCUUCCACCGUCACACUCUCAAACCCUACCAACUGUUUUACUGGAUUUCCAUUUCUACCUUUCUUUGGCUUCACAAACAGCAACACAGGAUGCUUCCCAGCCAUGCUUCCAGUAUUUGUAAUUCCCAAUGUGACAGAAAUUGACAUGGUUUUACAUGUUUCUUCGCCUAACUCUGAAACAAGUUUGUAAUUGAUUGUUUCAGAGUUUUCGAGUAUUGAAUAAGUGGUUGAUUGGUUGAUGUGAAGGUUGUUAUUUUUGACGGAAAUGAAGUUGUAGGAAUAAUUUGAGUAGCUUAGGCCAUAGCCGAAUUCGUAGACCUUUGGACCUGUGUAGAAACGGUAGGUUCUACCGGGAUAGCCUGAUGAUGGAUCAGCUCUCAUUCUCAUGUCUGUCAUUGGUAUUUUGAUAAAAUCUUUUGGGUACCAUGUCAUUGGUAGUCUCCCCCCUGCAUUGCAGUGAUUAAUUAAUAAAGCAUCCCAUUAGUUGAGUAAUAGUAGUUUUAGGAAGAUAUACUUAAAAAAGUUAUUCGAGGCAUAUGUAUAUAGUGUAUUUUGCUCAACAAGAAAAAUCUUACAAAACUAUAAUCGAUGUUUCAAAUUGUGGACAUUUUUAAGUUACAUCGAAAACAUUUGUUCAAUAUAUUUGAUAUUGCUACAAUCGUUGUAUAGAAAAUAGCCUUCGUUUGCCAUCACAAUCACAAUUGCAGACUAUUUUAAAACUGUGGCUGCAACUGCAAUUGUGGUUGUGACCUUAACUAUUUUCUUGGAAUCUGGAUCCUCUGCUGCCAUCUAGUCCAUUCAACCAAAUCUCAAUCGUUGGUUCAAGGUUCAUUCUGCAUCCGGUGAUUGAGAUUUAGUUGCAUUUAAUAAAUGGAUGCAGAGGAUCGAAGCCGAAUUUUUCAGAUUCUUUCCCUUGUUUCCCAAUAUAAAAUAAAAGGUUAAAUAAGUAAAUGAUCCCCUUAUAUAUACCAACAUUUGAUUUUAGUCCCCCUAAAGUAUUUCAUAGGCUUUUGGUCCCUCUAAAAUUUUUCAUCUAUAAAAUUAGUCCCUGCUCUACAUUGAGUAUUACACUAGAGCAGAGACUAAUUUCAUAAAUGAAAAAUUUAGAGGGACCAAAAGCCUAAAGAAUAUUUAAGGGGGACUAAAAUCAAAUGUUGAUAUAUUUAGGAGGAUUAUUUACUUAUUUAACCCUAAAAUAAACAAUAAAAAAUUCCCUUUUUGCUUGACUAAAUAUUCUCUCAUUUAAUGGUUAAGACUUUCCGGAAUCUAUGAAGUUUAUACAUGUUUUAAGGAUCUUGGUCAUGCGCAGCCACAACUACAUGACUGUGUCUAGUUAGCAACAUCUGAACCAUUCAAUCUAGAUUGAGCUGUCUACAUUUCAAACUUGAUAUUUUAGAUUUAAAAAAAUCAAAAUCGUCAUUGAAAUUUGAACCGUCCAAUCUCCCGAUGUAACUUGACUGCGUACAGUAACACUGCAAACAAUCCAAAUCCAUUUUUUACCAUAUUAUGUCUGUUUAUUUGUCAAUGGAUAAAGCAUAGAAGAAAACAAACCUGGGUUAUAGUCACCAAACACAACCUGAGCAAGAGCCCUUCCACCAAGUUCACCAGGAUAACCAGCCCAAAUAAUCCCUCCAAUUUUGUCAUUAUUCUUAGCAAAAGUAAUAUCAACAGGACCACCGCACAAAAGCACCAAAAUAACAGGCUUCUUAGAAGCUUUCGCAACACUGUUAAUAAGUUUCUGUUGCUUACCAGGCAACUCUAAAUGAUCUCUAUCAAGUGUUUCCGUCUCUUGACUUUGGUCUAAUCCCAUAACCAAAAUAACAUAAUCACUUAUUUUAGCAACUUCAACUGCUCGGUCAAUUUCGGCUGAAGCACACUUUGUUCCAUCAGUACAUCCAGAAUGAUAAUGUGUCUGGCUUGCAUAAGUGUAAAAGCCUUUUAAGAUUGAUACAUUUUUACAAGGAGGACCAAUAUAGUUUCCUAAAAGAACUAUUGAUGAUUUAUUGGCAUUAGGGCCUAUAACUCCAAGGGUAUUCACUCUUGGAAGUGGGAGAAUUGAGGCAGUGUUUUUCAAAAGUACAAUGCCACUUCUUGCAGCUUCUAGAGCAAGGUCUAGGUUUUCUUUAGAGCAUACUUGAUUUGGACCAAUUCUGCCAUAUUGGAGUUUUGUUGGAUUCCCAUCAAACAAGCCUAGUCUUAUUCUAAUGGUAAACAGAUUGUGUAGGGCACGGUCGAUUUGAGAUAUAGGAAUUUUUUUUUGUAAUACUGCUGACUUUGCAUGCUUUGUCAUGUAGUUACCACACUCUAAAUCCAUCCCUGAAAAUUUUUGAUCACACAACAUGUAAAUCACCACGGUUCAUCAAGAUUAUUCCUUUUUGAGACAAAAUCUCUUAUGUUGUUUACAGACUGCCUUGUAAUGUUGUUUUUGUUUUUUGAUUUACGGCUGUUUUAGCCUUACUGUAUUGUAAUUAACUCUUUUCAGCUCCUCUUAGCACACAUUGUGCUUGAGGGACUAUAUGUCUCUUUAAUAUAUUUCUUUUAAUUUCUUAAAAAAAACUAAGUGAUUAUAAGCAAAAUACUAUCUAAUUACGUUCAUUAUUUAUUUUCAAGUGCAUAAUUUAUUUAUUUACUAACAUAGCUCUAAUUAUGUUACAUCUUUUUCUGCAACCUAUACUAAAAACUAUGGUGAAAAUAUAAACUACUAAUUAUUUAUCCUAAAGAGUAGACAUAAAAAUACACAUAUAAAUUGUAUAAAAAUCUAUAUUAUCACCAAUUUUUGUCUGAAGUCCUGCUGUGAAUUUUUUAACUAAGAUAUUUAAUUUGCUUAUCGCCAAAGGAAACGAUGACGGGCCAUCAUUGAUGGCUUAGAAUGGCAUGCCUCAUAUAUGUGGGGACUAAUGAUGGCUUAAAAUGGCAUGAAUUUUUUUUCAAGCCCUACUUUUGAAAAAAUUGUCCACUCUACCCUACAUUCAAAAUAAAUAUCCAAUCUAUUCUACUUUCAUAUCUUCUCUUACGUAGCACCAUUUGAUAUGACAUCAUCAUUCUUCAUGAUGACCCACUCUCUAUUGGUAUCACCCUAUCCUACUAUCUUUUUUAUUUUUUCUUUCGAUUUUCAUUUUUUUUACUUGAUAAUUUAUACUUCCUUAAUCAUGGUUCCAUCUCAGUUGGCACCAUCUUACUAGGUUCUUUAUAUUUUUUUUUUUGUUUAUUUUGUUGGUUGAAAAUUUAUUAUAUAAAUAAAUUAAUAGAAAAAAUAUAAAAUAAUAUAAUAAUGAAGAAGAUGAAGAACCAAUAGUUCAACGACGAAAGUCCACUCGUGUGUCAAUACCUAAAGGAUGUGGUACAUGCAGACAUGAAGUAGUUAGAAAAACUAGAAAAUAAUGUAAUAUUAAUAUUUAAAUACUUUUCAUUAUAAUAUUUAGGUUAAUUAAGUAAACGGUCUCUAUAAAUAUUUAGAAUUUUGUUUUUAAUCCCUACAAAAUAAAAUCAAACUUUUUAUUCCUAUAAAAUUUUCCAUCAACAUUUUUAGUCUUUAUAAAAUAUUUUCAUCAGCAUUUUUAGUCCUUGUAAAAAAUUUCCAUCAACAUUUUUGGUCCCUAAAAUGCUUAAGGAAAAUACAUAGGUACUAAAAAGUGUGAUUUUAUUUUUUAGGGACUAAAAACAAAAUUGUGAAUAUUUAUAGGGACUAAAAAUUUAAUUAACCCUAAUAUUUAUCAAUCUAUAUUAUCAUGUUAUUUUAAUUUUUUCUAUUAAUUAUUUAUGUUGAUUAAUAUCUAUUAUUAGUUAAUAUGAUUUUUUUUUAUUAAUUAUUUAUAAAAUAAAUUUUCAGCCAAAAAAAUAAAUAAAAAAUUAAUAAGAUGGUGUCAACUGAGAUGGAGCCAUGACGAAGGAAGUAUAAAUUAUUAAGCGAAAAAAAAGAGGAAAAGGUAGUAGGGUGGUGCCAAUUGAGAGAGAGUCGUCUUGAAGAAUGAUGGUGUCAUCAGAGAUGACGCCAUGUAAGGGAAAAAUAAAAGUAGGAUAUAGGUUGGAUAUUUAUUUUGAAUGUAGGGUAGAGUGGACAAUUUUUUUCAAAACUAUGCUUGCAAAAAUAAAAUUCUCGUAUGGUUUGGCUUACAUAUGCAAGUGAGAAAAGUACCUUCCGUUGGGACCAUUGACAAAGUAAGAUAACGAUAAUUCAAUGUCACUCACAUAAACACAUAAUAGUUAUAUUUAGCUACUUCUGAUUAUGACAUAAACAUAGGAAGAGUGAAAGUAUACCAGCUCGAAGUACAUCGGCUACAACAUCCUCUGGUGUUUUUGCAUAACCUUGUUUUUCAUAUAUGAAUCGAACUGCGUCACAAUCCGACGCAAUAUACCUAUUUUAACAGCCAAAAUCAUUCAUACUAAUCAAGUCAAAAUAAAGUAAAAUUUCACUUUUACAUUUUGGUGAAUGAUACAUUGUUAAAAUGUAGCUUCAAAAAGAGGAGAAAAAGUAGAAAAGUUUGAAUCGAACACCAAGUUACACCAACUAAGUAGGUCAUUGCUCACAUCGUUAAUAGAGUGAAAAACAUUAUUUCAUAAAAGAUAUUGUCUAAUAAAGGAUAUGUUGUUAAAUAUAUUGUUUAAUUCUUAUAAAAUUUACAUUUUUGUACUCACUAUUAAAUAUCUUUUUUGUUUUGUUACACUCACUUUUAAAUAUCUAAAAAUUUACAAAACUAAAUAUUUUGUGUUUCCAAUUUUGUAAUUUAUAAGAACUAAAAAGUAGAUAAAAGAAUUUAAACAAAAUUGAAAUAAUUAUAAGGGUCAAAACCAUAUGUAACACAAACUAUUAUAUAUACCCAUUGAAAUUCCAUUUUUUCCUUGCCGUAUUGGUUAAAAGAUUGUAAUCUGCACAGUUUGGAACUCCAUUGACACGAUUGUAAGCACACAUUAUUCCACUGGAUCGUCCUUGUACUACGCAACUAUGAAAUGAGGGUUGAUACGUAUCCGCUAAAUCUUGCAAAGUAACCUGAAUUAUUAGAACAUAUUUGGAUUAUUAAAAUGGAAAAAAUUUAAAAGGUGAGGAAUAUAAGAAAAAUUAGAAUCAUUUUUGAAUUUUUAAAUUAAAUUAAUUGUUCUUUUGCAAGUUAUGAUUCAAUUUUCAAGGAUUCAACAACGACAUAAAACAAAGCAUGUUUUGUAGUCUGCAUAACACAACAAACAAAACUCAGACAAAUUCAAGGACGACAUUGUCUAAUAUGCACAAACCGAUUUUGUGGGUCGUGGGGUUGAGGACUUAUCUUAUUUGUUCACCGUAGAAUUAAUCAUCCAAAGACUAAACCAUAGAGACAAGAAAACUUACUUUGGCAUCAAAAACAUAACGAUUCACACCCUUCCAAUUUUCCAAAUCAUAGGCAGUAAAGUGUUUGCAACAAGCAGAAGCUUUAAGACGACCUCCAAUCAGUUUCCCACCUUCAAAGGAAUCACCUUGAAGUCCUCUCACAUAGGAAACACCAUACUUUGAAUUUACCAAAGGAUCUUCACCAGCUGUUUCUUGUCCUCUUCCCCAUCUUGGGUCCCUGAAUAUGUUUAUGUUUGGUGCCCAAAAAUUCAUCCCUUGGGCUUGUCCAGCAUUGUAUACUCCUCUAGCCUCAGUUCCAAUCACCUUCAUUCAUACAACACAUAAUAAUAAUUACAAAGCAAACAAAACUUAAAUAAAAAAAUAUUUGAAUAUUUUUUAGGCUUAAUAACAGUUUUACCCCCUAACUUUCUUAAAGUUGUGAUUUUGGCCCCCUAAGAAAAACAAAAACUACAAAACCACCCUCUAAAUUUUGCACCUGUGGCAGUUUUGGCCCCCAAGGUCAAUUUUGACUCGGUCUACGCUGACGUGGCACCCUAAGUGAGGUGUCACAUGUUAUUUUUUUAUAUUUUUUUCGCCUUAGGGAGCCAAAACUGCUACAGUUGCAAAAUUUAAUUAGGGGGCAGUUUUGUAGUUUUUUUCUUAGAGGGCUAAAAUCUCAACUUCGUGAAAGUUAGGGGGCGAAAACUGCUAUUAAGUAUUUUUUAUCCUAAUUAUAAAAAAAAAAAAGUUUAAUUGUGGUGGGUUGACGGUCCAAAACAAUUUUGCACACACGACCAAUCAAAACAUUUCAAAUUGCCAUGUUAAUUAAAAACAAAGCAAUAAUUUAAUUGACAUGGCAAUUUAAAAUGUUUUGAUUGGUCGUGUGUGCAAAAUUGUUUUGGACUGUCAACCCACCACAAUGAAACCCAUAAAAAAAAUAAGGUCGCAAAUUUAUAUAUAUUAAAAUCGGGUAUCUGUCUGGUGACCGACGUAACGUGACAUGCUAAUUCAGGAGACUAAUCUCACCGCCUAGUAGUAGGAUUCAUUUGAAAUCAUAACUAUGUAUGAACUGACUCAAUACUAAAAUUGUUGGCCACACUCCUAAGUCUCAAACCAUAUACCAUAUGGGAAACCGCAGGAUUAGGUAAGUACUAAAACCUAUUUACUAAAUACUAAAUGAAAAAUAUAAUUUUAAUCUUUAAAAAAUUUCAAAAACAUGGGUUAAAUUAUUUGAAUGAAAACCAUUUCAAUCCAGGGACGGAUGCACAUAAAAAGCUAUGUAGGUUUGUGCACGCACUAACUUUGUAGAAUUUUUUUUAGGCGGUGGUAAUUAGUGAUAUAUAGUUGUAAUAGUUGAAAUGUUGUCCAAAUAGCCCACACAAACCACAACACUUUUCUCUUGGCCCACACAUAUACACACACCUUGACACAACAACACAAUCUUGUGAAAAAUCAGAUGUGAAAUCGCAUGAGAUGAAUGAUUAAACAAUUGUUUAAUUACUUAUAUAGAUAUAUACUUUUUUUUUUUAAAACAAAUAUAGAGAGAUACUUUUGUUUGUAUUGAAAAUGAGAAAAUCAUUCAAUAUUUUUAGAAUAUGGAGAAUGGUAGAGCACAAUUACGAUGUAUAUUUAUGCUUUUAAAAAUGAAAUAUAAUAUAUAUAUAUAUAGGGGUUUGCUAUGAUACACCCACCAGUUUUUAUUAAGGUGUGUUUUAACAACGAUAUAACUAAAAAGUUGUUAAAUACACCUUAAGGUAAAGGUUGCUAAAACACACCUUCUAAAAAAUAAGUGGGUGUAUGUUAGCAACUCCUAUAGGCAUUUGCUAGGAUACACCCACUUAUUUUUUAGAAGGUGUGUUUUAGCAAGUUAUAACUAAAAAGUAAUUAAAUACACCUUAAGGUGUAACUUGCUAAAACACUCCCACAUAAAAACUAGUAGGUGUGUUCUAGCAAAUCCUAUAUAUAUAUAUAUGUGGUGCCCCACUUUUUAAAAUUCUUGUAUCCACACCUGUUUCAACCAAGGACCAUGAUUCCCCGUAGUCGGGCAGAUGAUACGGUCAUACAGGUAGAGUGUUAUUGGUCUUACGAUUGAAAUCGGAUUGUGAAUAUUUAAAGAUCAAAAGUGAAAUAAAAACUAUUCUAACAAAUUAGACGGUUGAUAUCAUUCUACAGUCACUAUUUGACUAUUGAGAAUCAUUUUCCUUCAACCAACAUCAUUUUGUCACAAAUUUCCAACAUGGAUUAAACGAGUUACUCACCUUACUGAUUUGGUACCAAAGUUUGGGAUCAAAAGAAGCAGCAGUAAGAAUAACUUGAGGGAAACUAGUUGCAGCUGGAAUACUACCAUUCAAUAUUAUCCCCAUACCAACAUAAGAAACACCAUGCAAAGCUUCAUUCCACCAUUGGUAACUCGGUAUAUCGAGUCGAGGAAUGGCAGGAGCUGUGUUAACGAGUUGGGAGACUUUCUCAUCCAAUGUGAGCCGUGAUACGAUGUCUUUGGCUCUUUGAGUGAUGGUAAGGUUGAGAUUGCAAAAGGGAAAUAAUUUUGUACGUGGGUUUGAGGUGUCACAGGAGUAAGGAGGUACAAGAGUUGGUGGAUCGGCAUGAACGAGUUGGUGGUAGCGAGUUAGGAAGAGUAAAAUGAAAGAGAUGAAAGUUAUGGUGAUGGAAAAGUCGCCCAUGCUUUGAGGGGAUUUAUGCAACAAAGGUAGUGAACAGAACUUGUGUAUUUAUACAGAUACGUGUUUGUUUUUUUCUUUUGGUUACUUGUGUUUCUUUUUUUGGAAGAAAAAAAAAUUGUUCCUCAAACCAAAAAAGGAAAUUAUACGUCUGAGCCAAAUUAUACGUUUGAUUUGGAUAUGAAAAUUGAAAAAAAAAAAGAUAGCCUCUAAUGCUAGGCGCCACAUGUCAAAGGGAGUAUGAAAAUUGAAAAAAAGAAAUCGAAUCGUACACGUCUGACUGACCACAACACAUCCCGUUCUACUUCUAUCACUCCCUAUCAAGCUCUUAAGAUGUCGGCAAUUAAACAACCCUAAAUAUUAGGGUAAAUAUGCUUUUAAUCCCAUAGAUAUAUCAAUUUUUUUUUUUAUUUCCUUUUAAUUUUUCCUUCAACUUUUAGUUCCUAUAAAAUUUUCAAUCACUAUUUUUAGUUUCUAUUUUUAAUUUAAUUUUAGUAUUUCUUUUUAAUGAAAAUGUGCAGAUAUGUGUAGAAUAUAGCGAACAAUUAAAAUUUUUAACAAAAUAUAAAUUAAAUAUGAAUUUUUAAUCAUCAAAAAAAAUAAAAAUUCAUGUUUUGUUAAAAAUUUCUAUUUUUUUUAGUGAUUCUUAUAAUAUUAUGCAUUUUUCUCCAAAACUUUUUACAAAAAUAUGAAUUCUAUAUAUGAGUUUAUUUUAAAGGAGGGACCAAAAUUAAAGGUGAAAAUUUUUUAAGGACUAAAUGUUGAAGAAUAAUAUAAGAGGAGUUAAAACAAAAAGUUGAUAUAUUUAUAAAAACCAAAAACAUAUUUAACUCUAAAUAUUAAUUAAUCUACAAUAUAAACAAAUAAAACACAUUCUAUUCUCAAUUACAAGUGGCAGGCUUAUGUCUUAAUUAUAAUUAAUGCUAGGAUAAUACAAAUGUUCAAUAUACUCAUCUUCUAAAAGAAGAUCACCUUGAAUAAUAUUCUUAUCAUCAUCAUUCAAUGCAUUCAAAUCAAUAUUCAAAAUUAUUUUCAUAUCUUUGCAUUCAAGACACACACUCUAUAUUGUCUCUGGCUAAAGUCUAAAUUUUAUAAAAUCAUGACAUUGACUAGAACCUUUAAAACAAUAUCUUCAAAUUCCAUUUUCCUCUUCAAAACAAUAAUUUUCAACCUCAAUGCACUUUUAAGUCUGAUAAUUUUUCUACCAUAUAAUGCACACAUUGCUGAUAGUUUUGUACAUAUAGUUUGGAUUUUAAAGUUGUUUCACAGACCCUUCCAUCUUCUUUUUUUUUUACAUGAAUUUUUUACUAUUUUUUUAAAUCAACUAGCUACGCCUCCCAAAAUCGAAUUCGUCUAUGAAAUUAUCCUAAAGUGUUGUUGAUUUCAUUAUUCGUGUGUGAUUUGUCUGAACACACCACUCUUUUUAUUUGGAUAUAAUCAUCAUGGAGUCAAUCGUAUAUGUAUUAAUUUUAGCGCUAUUAAUAUAUUUUAGACUUAAAUACGUAAAUCGUUAAUGUAAUUUGGCGUGUUUUUUGUUUCCGUCUUUGUAUCUUUUUUGUUUUAAAACAACCCCUGUUAGUUAAUAACUUUUUUAUUUUCGUCCCUCCCGUCAACUUCCGUUACAAAAACGCACAUGUGGCAAACGGAGGAUGACGUGGCAGUGCCUGACGUGGCAAACUUAUUGAUGAGUCACACAGUGAGAGGGACCAAAACCAAAAAACGAAAUUUGUAGAGGGAUCAAAGCCAAAAAACAAAAUUCGUAAAGGGAUCAAAACCAAAAAGAGAGAAAAAAAUAGCUUUCUUCAUCUUCUUCCUUCCACCUCUUUUACAUAUUCAUCAUUGUCUUCAUAAAUUCAUCAAAAAAAACCAGGAAAAAAUACUCAGAAAAGAGAUAAAAAAAAUAAGAGUGAUGAUACAUGUACCACCUCAUGUGGCAAUACACCAUUUACACCCACACAAAAUUCUGACACGUGGCAACCUGGACCCCACACAAAUAGAAGAUAUUAUGAGAUGAACCUACAAAAAUAUUCUAAUACAUUGGGUGUACAAUGAGGUGUAGGAAUAAAGGGUGUUCAUGUAACAUUUUUCAAAAAAUAAAUAAAUAAAAACUCAAAAUCAUCAUCUCACUCUCAAUAGACAACUUCCCACAAACCCAAACAAAAUCCCCAUUGACAAUGGUCAGAUUGACAUCUCAACACUAAAAUCCACAAUGUUCAUAGUCCCAGCUAAACUUUUAUUGAUAAUAUCAAAAUCAAAUCAUAACAACAAAAUCCUCAUUGUGAAUGCUCAAAUUCCCAAUAUUGAAAAAAUUCACAAAAUUCUCAAAUUGAAAAAACCUAAAGAAUGAUUUUUUUUUUCUCAUUACCAACUCUCGUCUCAUCAUUGAUCUCGCAUCUCUGUUGUUUCUUGGUCACUCCAAAUGAUUUCUUCGUCAAUUCUUUGAACUCUAAUCUCAUCAUUUUUGUUUCGAACAUUUGGGUCGUGUUCUUUUUUCCGGUUGAUUUGGAAGAUUGUUGUGUGAAAUUGGAUUAUAAGGGAAAGGUUCAAGUUUGAUAUGAAUAUUAUUUUAAUUUGAAGAUUUAGAGGGAUAAUAAAUAGAAUUGAAAAAUAUGUUGGAAUGUCGAAUUGAGAUAAGUUUUAUUUUAAACGAUUUUAAAGUGUGUGAAAUUGGAUUGCACGUUAAACAAUGGGUAUAUUGGUUUAAUUUGAUUUUGCUGUUUGUGAGAAGAAAUAAAAGAGAAGUUAUCACAUGAAGGUAUAGUUGAAGGUGUUGGAUUGAAUUUGUUGUUGUUUUGAGUUGAUGGAUUUUUGGAUUUUGAAAUGAUGAAUUUCUUUGUUUGUUCGAUGAUGAUGAUGAAGUUUAUGAAGACAAUGAUAGUAAUGAAGAAGAAAAUGUGGGAAGAAGAUGAAGAAAUGUAAUUAAAUUUGAAUUUUUCAUUUUCUCGUUUUUUGGUUUUGGUCCCUCUACAAAUUUCAUUUUUUGAUUUUGGUUCUGGAAAUAAGUCCAUCUACAAAUUUCGAUUUUUUGGUUUUGGUUUUGGUCCCUUUACGAAUUUUGUUUUUUUGGCUUUGGUCCUUCUACAAAUUUUGUUUUUUGAUUUUGGUCCCUCUCACUGUGUGACUCAUCAAUAAGUUUGCCACGUCAGCAUCGUCUGCCACGUCAGGCACUACCACAUCAUCCUCCGUUUACCACAUGUGCGUUUUUGUAACGGAAGUUGACGGGAGGGACGAAAAUUAAAAAGUUAUUAACUUAUAGGGGUUGUUUUAGAACAAAAAAAGAUACAGGGACAAAAACCAAAAACACGCCAAAUUACAUGGACGAUUUACAUAUUUAAGUCUAUAUUUUAUGAUGUGAUUUUAACUGUUUGACACAUUAUUACAGAGAAAAAAAAUCCACACUAUUGUAUGUCUUGUUCGUCUAUAUGGCCAAUAAGGUUGCACUAGAGGGGUUAAAUAAAUAGCGGUUUGAAAUUUUUUACGGAGUUUUAGCAAAAUUGUUUUGAAAUGUUUUGACUAAUUGGAAUUAUGCUUUGAACACUCAUAAACAAUCACAAAAAGUUAAGACUAUGUACUAAAAAGAUUUACAAUAGAAUUGAGAGAUUCCCUAAAUAAAUCUUAUUACAAUCAAAUAUUAAUAAUUCUUGAACAAUUUGCAAAACAAGACAAUUUCAAAGUCAAACCUAUAAGAAAAUAUAACAAGCUACCAAUCAAAAACACAAUGCAUAUGCAAUUGAUGAAUUGGAUAGGAAUUGAAACUAAUUGAUCCAAGUAAAAUAGUGAAAACCUAAUUCAAGAAAUUAGGUCAAUUUAAAAAAAAAACAACUUAGAUCAAAAUUAAUUUCUAUUCUAUCAAUUAAUCAACUAAACAUAUACAACUAUCAAAAUUAAAGAGGAUAAGGGAAAAGAGAACGACACCAAGAUUUUAAUAGUAGUUCACCCUUUCGUCCUCACUUCGGGCUACGUCUACUCUUCUUGGUGAAAAACGCCUCCACCAAGGUCAUCCACUAAUAGUAACAAUAUUGAAUGCAAAUGUGAUUUCAAGAGUUCCUCGAAACUAUCCUAGUUCUUUAACCCAUAUGUAAGCACUUCCCCAAACUCCAAAUAAGCUUUGAAUUUGUUGCUUCUUGAUGUCUUCGAAUCCUCAAUCACCCGUGCAACCCUUCGAACUCUUCACUCAAGCUAUUCGAUGCUACGUUCGACAAAUGGAUCCCCUUGAACACACAAGAACAAUUAGAAAGAACCCCCAAGAAAUUUUGAGUUGGAAUGAGAUUAUUCACUUUACUUUAGAACCUUGAUUAAGCCCAACCAAUUUCCUUGAAAGAACAAACUUAUAAUCCCUAUUAGCACCCUAGAAAAUCAUGAUUCAAAGUACAAAAUGAUUCUAAGAAAAAAGUGUUUAAUCUUGAAGAAUUUAUGAACAAUGAGUUUUUGAGACCUAGAGAGAAUAAAUGCAAUUGAUUCAAUAUUUUCUGUGUUAUGAGGAUGUGUGUAUAUAUAGAAAAGGGUGGCAAGAGCAAAAUUUCGGCCAAAAACAACAUAGUGAAUCAAUUCACUAAAUGUGUGAAUCAAUUCAGAUAGGAAAAAUGCAAGCCAGAGACCUAUGAAGAUUGAUACGAUUCAUUGUAAAUUUGAAUCGAUUCAAGUGAGCUCAUGAUAAAGAAUGAUGUGAUUUAGACUUUUAUGAAUCGAUUCAGUGCAUGUCAGAAAAAAGUCAUGAUACGACUCAAACAAAUAUGAAUAGAUUUAAUCGUGAUACGAUUCAAAAACUUGUGAAUCGUUUCAUUAGAAGUCAGAACCUUCUUAUGAUACGAUUCACAUACUUAUGAAUCGAUUCAGUGAGUAAAAAGAUGAGAUAUGGUUAAGUUUCAAAUAUGUAAACAAUGCACAUGACACAAAUAAAUCCUAGAAUAAUGAGACAUAGUUGUUGGGUGCUUUAACAAGACUAUGUACUAGAAAAUAAAGAACAAGAUAAUCAUCAAAAGGAUAGACUAACGAACAUCAUCAAAAACACAUAAAGUAAAAAUUAUAUUGGCUUCAUGUCCUACUUUCAUCUUUUUUAAAUCUAAGAAGAGUUAUUUAUUUAAAUCUUGAUUUGUAUUUUAAACAAUGUUCUUUUGAUGUAUUUUUCAAGGCCAAAUUUUUCUUUUUGUAUGUUGAUUCCUGGAUUGUUUCUUUUUGUGUAACAGUAUAAACAAAUUCAACUUAUUAUUGUGUUUGUAAUUAAUUAUUAUUAUUUUGAAUAGAACACAUUUACUAUAUCACCGUACUACGUCUUAUCUACAAUAUAAAUAAAUGAAAUCAUUUUCAUUCUCAUGUAUACAAAGCAAUUUUCCGGAUCAUUUCACAUUAAUGUUAGGCUAAUUACACAAUUCAAAUAUGCAUUACAAUCAAAUAUACCUCCUUGGACCGUCAAUAUAUUUCCUAAGGGCCUCAAAGCCCUUUAGAAAGGUUUAGGUGCCUUUCAGAAAGACUCCUAAGGUUUAGGCGCGCACUUCUAGAAGCGUCGUCUUAUCUAGCUUUUAGAAGCAUCUAAUGCUUGAUAAAAUGACUUAAGGCACAACUUACUUGAGGCUUAAGUCACGCGAAAACAAGUCCACAAAGGACUAUAAAUAUUCAUCUUGGGAUCAUUCUCAAGGCAUCACAUAAACAGACUAAACUUUACUUUAUAAUAUUGUACUCACUGCAAGUAGUCCACACCUAUGGAUCCUAAUCGCGAUGGAACAUAAACCGCAACCCCUUAAUUGCACCCUUCAUUGCGAUUUAGGUCAAGCCGCAACCUCUAAAAUCGAUUCGGCGAUUUCACGAAGCAAUCGCUUAGCACAACCGAUCUAACCACGACGUUGUAGCAGUGAUGAAACCUCACAUAGAUUUGAAGGCCUCCAUUUUCUUUUUGCGGCUGUUCUAUGUGAGGAAGAUCCUUCUGAAACGCGAUUCCAAAAUAACUCCCUAGCUCGGGAUGAUUUUUUGCAGUAUUCUUUUCAUUUAUUUCAUAUACUUUUGUUAUUUUGAUAUGGAACUAUAAUUGCUCGUUUCAGUCCACACUUUUUUAGCGAUAGAAAAGAGGACCGGGUGAAGCUACUCAAGUAUACUAAUGAUGAUAUGAUCAAAGAGGGUAUUUUGAAUAUUUUAACAAAGGCUGGUGUUACUUAAAUUGCCUUUUCAUUAUUUUGAUAGAAUACUAUUAUUUCUUUUGAAUGCAGUAAUUCUACCGUGAAAAAUGCUAACAACAUUUACUUUUUAACACUCUAACAUUCGCUUUUCUACAUGAUGAAAUCAAUAUAUGUCUCACCAUUUUGUGUGGGAUCAAUUUUCAAAGUGUAGACUCACAAUGAUUUAAACCAAUAAAAAAAUGAAUAUUAAAGAAAGUAUUCAAAAGAGAAUGUUGUUGAUAGCAUUAUUCUUCUAUAUUUUAAUUAUUUAGUAUACACAAACACAUGAUAUCGUAAUAGGUACAAUUAUUAGCCUUUGAAAUCUCCAAAUAAAUUUUUUCUUGUUAUACUCAUGUUGUUGUGUGCAAUUUGAUUUGGAUUAUAUCUGCUUUCUCUUAUAAUAAAUUUUAUGGUUAAUAGUGUUUUACCUCCUUGUAAUAUGUCAUUUUUUUUUUCACCUUGUAAAAUUUUUUGUUUGGUUUUCGUCCUUCUAAUUUGAAGAUUUUUGCUUUUGGACCUUCAUGAAUUUAGUAUAGUACAACAUUCGACGACAUGGCAAGGGGCUAAACCAAAAUUCGCUCAAAUUAACAGGGAGUAAACCGAAAUUUGCUCAAAUUACACGGGGGUAAACCGAAAUUUUAUCAAAUUAUAGACGGCAAAAUUUGCCAUGAAGGUCCAAAACCAAAAAAUCUUCAAAUUACAAGGACGAAAACCAAACAAAAAAUUUUACAGAGUGGAAAAUAAAAAAUGACCUAUAUUACAUGAGAUAAAACACUGUUAACCCUACAUUUUAAAGUUAUAGGUAAUGUAUAGUUGUUUAGACGUGGCCAUAUACUAGUUCUGCAAAUUUCCGAUGUCUCUCACCUAUCUAGUAAAUGUGGCAUUCAAGUGGAUAUCUAUCUACAUCCGGAGACAAUGAAUAAUAUUUGCAGUUUCAAAGGUUCAAAAGAGAAGCAAAAUAUUCCUACUUACCAUAACAGGUGUAUUCUCAACCAUAUCUUUUUAUUUCCGUCUUUCAAUUAAUGAUUUGAUAUAUGGAGAACUAUAAUUUUGAGCCUUGAAGGUAUGCAUGUUUUGUGCUUAUGUUAGUCAGAUCUACUCCCAUUCAUGUUUUUCGUUACUUUCUUUUAUUAUAAAUUGGAAUUUUUGGUCGUUAUUAAUUAGUCAUUGUACAUUUUACAUUAUUAUAAAAAUUGAAACUAUAAUGCUCUCGAUUUCAUAGAAAAAUCAGUUUCAUAAAACAGUGGAUAAUGUUGUUGAGUUGGUUAUAACUUUGUCCACACUAAUGGUCUUUGAUUAGAGAGCAUAUGUGCUUGUUCUUCAAGUUAUAUCUUUUUCUGGAUUUGUCGCUACGUAAGUGCAUGAAACGUGCCCUAGGCGCAUGCAUGUGAGUGUGUUAUGGAUCCGUUCUUUCCAUUUUUUUUUUAUCUUUUUGGAUGUUUGCUUCCAUAUAAGAUGUCUUGGGAUCUGGGAACAUAAUUUCUCCCUCUGUAAAGUCUUAUGAGGUCUCUUGAAUCUUCAUUCUUGAUCAUCCCAAGGUCUUUACUAAUCUUUGGAUGUUCUUGUUUUUCAAUUUGCAUGAUUUCUUCGUGAAUUACAUCCAAAACACCCUGGAAUUGUUAUGUUUCGGGAAGAAUAGAUUACAAACUCAAAUAUAGAAAGCCUUACAAUUGUCCCGAAAUCAUAGGCAAUUGCUCUAAUACUCAUCCGUUUUGCUGGUAAAUCCUACUGAAAAUGACAAAAAAAUAUGCUAAGAAUAACGUAAGAUGAUCUGUCAUUAGUGCUCCUCUUGAUGUGAUCCAGGCACCCCAAGUGUGUAAAAUUGCACUCAUGUGCCCCGGGUGUCUUCCAUGAGCCCCCCAAGUGUGUUAUGUGCGCGCCUGAGAAAUAAUUGCUUUUUGCUACUUUUUAACGGGAAAACCCAAUUUCAAGGCCCAAACCCUGGUGGAAACUUUGCCUAUAAAUACAACUCCUCUCAUUCAUAUUUUUCAUUAGAAACAAAGCGGUUCAAGAGGAAGGCAACAACUAAGAGCUUUAAGGGAGGAAUCUCUCUCCUCACUCUAUGUCUCUAUGGUAUGUCUUAUUACUUUUGUAAUUUGUCUUUAGUUACCAUGAGUAACUAAAUCCUAUCAGGGUAGGGUUCUAAGAUGAACUUCUAUUUUAUUUUGUUUUGAAUUCGUUGAGAAUCACACCAAUAACAACUUGAUGUGUGGAGCAAGGGAUAAUCAAGCAACCAAAAUAAAGUGUAUGGAACAAUUAAAUACAAGCCAAAAGUAGAAAACAACGGCGAGAAGAACACAAAGAAGAGAAGAACACAAAAGAAUUUGUUGACCCAGUUCGGUCCAAAUUGACCUAGUCUGGGGGAGAGAGCAGCUCUCCGUUCCACUAUAUGAUGAGUAACGUUACAAAAGAGAAAUCAAUGGGUUACAAGAAUAAGUCUUCCGCCUAAUUCUACCCAGAGUCCCAGCCUCUUCCCGUAACCAAGAGACUCAAUCCUAAUAGUGUUUCACAAGGUGAAUCAACCCACAAACCCUAGUGUUUGUUCCAAAGAGACAAACUCUAUACAAACCCUAGUUUUGUUGUUGUCUUUCUAAACCCUUGUUUCAGCCCCCUCUAUCUCAAAGUUUGCUCUGAUACAAGGUCUAUAUUUAUAGUAAAAGUAUCGCUUAAAAUUUGGAACAAAUCUGCACCCAAAAAUACGUUUCUGUUAUUCGCUGUCAGCGCACCAUCGUGCCACGAUUUUUCCAGUGCCUUGCCUCAAAAAACUGAAACCUCCAUCGUGCCACGUUGUCCAACCAUCGUGCCACGAUUCUGCAGAAACCUGAUUUUAAGUUAACUCUCACAUAUUUGUUGGAUUAUUUUAAUUUAAGUUUUUUAUUCUGUUAUUUUAUGAAUUCUAUUUAAUUUUAUUAUGCAAAUUCUUAGUUUCACCCAAGUGAACCAACCUAGAGAUAACAAUAACUAGGGAAGUGACAUAACCUAAUAUUCGAUAAUAACCUACAUGAACCAAGUAAUAACUUAUAUAACUGUUUAACCACCCGAAUUAGGGAAAUAAUAGUAAUAAUGGUAAUUGAACCUAGGAACUAGCAUAAUAACUAUAAUCUUCUUACAUCCUUGGUAAGGUAGGGGAUAUAUGGCUUCUUGUUUGUAGAACUACCGAGGAGAGUAUGUUGAUGAACGUCUAAGAUUCAUAUACGAGAGAACCUUUAGGACCUUAAGAAUUUAGGAAACCCUAGUUUAAGUUUGUGUUUCAAUUAUCUUUGAAAGAGUAAGAACCCACAUAUACAUCUACAUCUACGUGCUAGGGAGCAUCCCCCUAUAAGAUUGACGACCCUAAGCAUGAACCCGUGUAGAAACUCUAGUGUAAGGAUGCAACUCGAUAGCUGGAGGGGAGUAAAACAUAUGACCUAUGAGAGAGUAAGGCCUCACACACGCAAACCAAUGCGAUCAGUAGGUGCAACUUGACAGCAUGUAGGAAAAUAAAACUCCACAAACUCAUCACUUAAAUAGAAUACAUUUAACCAAUAUCUGAAUAAUGUUUGACCAUUAAUUAAUUCCGACAAAUGAAUAAAUGAGAUUCUAAAAAUCUUAACAGCCGCUAACAUUUUGCAAUCAUAAACAUGUUACUCCUAAACUCUUGCUCUGAGCAAAUAGAUCAAAUUGCACAACCCUUUUUUUUAUUUUAUUGUUUAUUUAUUUUAUUUAUUGUUAUAAAUAAAUUACACGAAUUGGCUAGUUGGAAUAACAAUCCCUAUAUAUAUGAUACUCAAUUUAUCAGGACUUAUUGCAUUAGUGGUCUCUUAUUGAGCCUACUCGACAAACUUUUCAAGAUGUUAGAAAGUCUUAGAUUAUAACAAUCCCUAUAUAUAAUGCUAAUAUGUUAUCUACUCGCUUACUUGAAAAUAGACUGACAUGCAUAAUAUUAAUAAGGAUAUUUUAAUAAAUGAAUUUAAAUUAUCAUUAAAUUAAAGUUAAAUUGUAUUUUUGAUCCCUUAACUAUUUAGGUAGUAUCGGUUUGGUCCUUUAAUUAAAAUUCGAUUUAUUUUGGUCUCUUAACUUCUCUCCGUUAUACAUUUUUACCAUUUCUGUUAGUUUUAAUUCAAAAACGUUAGGUUUUCUUCAUCUUCUUCUCCUCUUUUCCAUCUUCAUAUCAUCUCCAUCAACCUUUAACAACAAGAAUCCCAGAAAAUAUUCCAAAAGAAAAUGAAGAAAACUUAACGUUUUUGAAUUAAAACUAACGGAAAUGACCAAAAUAUGUAACGGAGAGAAAUUAAGAGACCAAAAUAAAUUGAAUUUUAAUUAAGGGACCAAAACAAUACUACAUAAAUAGUUUUGAACCAAAAAUGCAAUUUAGCCUUAAAUUAAUUUACUCAUUGGUUUUUUUAAAAAAUAUACAUAACCUUUGAAGACAUAAGAUGGAGGAUAGCGUAUACUAAAAAUAUAUUAUCAUGAUUAUAUUAUCAGGGCCAAUCAAGCUUUCCAUUACAUAAGUAGACUCACAUUGCAAUUAACUCAUCAAGCUUUCCAUUGGUUAUUCGUUACUUGAUUGAUAAUUUCUCAAUACUACAUUUCAUCAAAGAGUGAUAUUAAUUGAGUACUCUUCCUCUCCCACAACCAACAAAUGACCACCUUCUUCAAUCACCUUAACACCACUCUCAUUUGCUCUACUAAGAUGCUCACAAACACUAACUUCAAAUCCAACUUCACCUUUUCCUCCUCCUUCUACCGUCACACUCUCAAACCCUACCAACUGUUUUACUGGAUUUCCAUUUCUACCUUUCUUUGGCUUCACAAACAGCAACACAGGAUGUUUCCCAGCCAUGCUUCCAGUAUUUGUAAUUCCCAAUGUGACAGAAAUUGACAUGGUUUUACAUGUUUCUUCACCUAACUCUGAAACAAGUUUGUAAUAGAUUGUUUCAGAGUUUUCGAGUAUCGAAUGAGUGGUUGAUUGGUUGAUGUGAAGGUUGUUGUUUUUGACGGAAAUAAAGUUGUAGGAAUAAUUUGAGUAGCUUAGACCAUAGCCGAAUUCGUAGACCUUUGGACCUGUGUAGAAACGGUAGGUUCUACCGGGAUAGCCUGAUGAGGGAUCAGCUCUCAUUCUCAUGUCUGUCAUUGGUAUUUUGAUGAAAUCUUUUGGGUACCAUGUCAUUGGUAGUCUCCCCCCUAAAUAACAAAGCAUCCCAUUAGUUGAGUAAUAGUAGUUUUAGGAAACUAUACUUGAAAAAUAUAGUUUACAGCACUAUAAGCAAUAUUUUAAAUUGUGGACACUUUUAAGUUGCAUUGACAUGGAUGAUAUUGUAGAAAACAUUUGCUAAAUAUAUUUGACGUUGCUACAACCCUCGUAUAGAAAAUAGUCUUCAUUUUAUGGUCACAAUCACAGUUGCAGACUAUUUUUAAAAACCAUUGACAUAAAGACUCUGGCUGCUAUUGUGGUUGCGACCUUGACUAUUUUCUUUGAAUCUGGAUCCUCUGCUACCAUCUACUCAGUUCAAGGUUCAUAAUCUCUGUCAUUUGUUCAAGGUUCAUUCCGCAUCCAGUAAUUCAGAUUUAGUUGCGUUUACUAAAUGGUUGCAUGGGACCGAAGCGACUCUUUCCCUUGUCUCCCAAUAUAAAAUAUAAAAUAUAAAAUAUGAAAUUCCCUUUUUGCUUAACUAAAUAUUAUCUUAUACAUGUUUUAAGGAUCUUGGUCGUGCGCAGCUGCAACUACAUUGCAUGCAGUUAGCAAUAUCUGAACCAUCCGAUCAAGAUUGAGCAGUUUAAAUUUCAAGUGUUGCAAAAUCAAAUCGUCAUUGAAUUCUGAACUGUCCAAUCUCCAGAUGUUACCUAACUGUGUGCAGUAACACUGCACACAAUCCAAAUCCAUUUAUUUUAUCACAUGUGUGUUUAUUUGUCAAUGGAUAAAGCAUAGAAGAAAACAAACCUGGGUUAUAGUCACCAAACACAACCUGAGCAAGAGCCCUUCCACCAAGUUCACCAGGAUAACCAGCCCAAAUAAUCCCUCCAAUUUUGUCAUUAUUCUUAGCAAAAGUAAUAUCAACAGGACCACCACACAAAAGCACCAAAAUAACAGGCUUCUUAGAAGCUUUAGCAACACUGUUAAUAAGUUCCUGUUGCUUACCAGGCAACUCUAAAUCAUCUCUAUCACGUGAUUCCCUCUCUUGACUUUGGUCCAAUCCCAUAACCAAAAUAACAUAAUCACUUAUUUUAGCAACUUCAACUGCUCGGUCAAUUUCAGCUGAAGCACACUUUGUUCCAUCAAGACAUCCAGAACGAUAAUGUGUUUGGCUAGCAUAAGUGUAAAAGCCUUUUAAUAUUGGUACUAAUCUACAAGGACGGCCAAAGUAGUUUCCUAAAACAACCUUAGAUGAUUUAUUGGCAUUAGGGCCUAUAACUCCGAGGGUAUUUACUCUUGGAAGUGGGAGAAUUGAGGCAGUGUUUUUUAAAAGUACAAUGCCACUUCUUGCAGCUUCAAGAGCAAGGUCUAGGUUUUCUUUAGAGCAUACUUGAUUUGGACCAAUUCUGCCAUAUUGGAGUUUUGUUGGAUUCCCAUCAAACAAGCCUAGUCUUAUUCUAAUGGUAAACAGAUUGUGUAGGGCACGGUCGAUUUGAGAUAUAGGUACUUUUUUUUGUAAUACUGCUGCCUUUGCAUGCUUUGUCAAGUAAUCACCACACUCUACGUCCAUCCCUGAAAAGUUUGAUUACACAACAUGUAAUUCGCUUGAUUAUAAUAGUACUUGUGUAUGUUUUGUUGCAAAAUAAAGAUAACUAUUCAUCGUCAAUCUAAACAUGCAUUAAAUCUAAAGAGUAAAGUCAUGUUCUGUUUUGUUGCAAAAUAAAUAUAACUAAAGUGGUUAUAGAGCUUAGAGGUAAAGAACUUUGACCUAAGCUAAAACUAAGGCAAAUAAAGUGUGAUUAUAAAGUUUAGAGGUAGUAAAUGUCCACAUUGACUAAAAUUAAGACAAGUAAUUUAACCAUAAAACUUAGAGUGCAUGGAUCAAUCUUAAUUAUCUUGGACACUUGCAAAUCUUCCUCAUUAAAAGGCAUAAAUGAACACCUCUCAAAGAAAUAAGUAUGAGGUAAAGUGCAUGUAUAGUAAAUCUCUAAUUGAAAUAAAUUUUAGGCUGUACUCAGGUCCAAUGAUAGACAUUAAAACAAGUACAGUCUUUGACACACAACUUAAGUCCAGCUGUGAAUUUUUGGAGUAUGCUAUUUAAUUUGCUUGGCGUGGGGCAUAUAUGUGGGGACUCUAAUGAAAAUGUGGGUAAACCAUGUGACUUUGUUAGUAACAUGAGCAAAAAUUGGAAACUAAAGUGACCAAAAUACAAAGUGAGAAAAGUACCUUCCAUUGGAACCAUUGAUAUAGAGUUAGAUAAUGAUAAUUACACUAGUUUAUAAAUAUUAUUAUGUGAUUAUUGAGUUUACAAAUCAAGUUUAUAUAGACUUCACUAGUUUGAUUAGAAUUUACUCAAAAGAAACAAAGUUUGCUUUAGAAUAGAGUUCAACAACCUUGAUUUAUAAAUACUAAUAUGUGAUUAUGAAAUUAACAAAGGAAGAGUGAAAGUAUACCAGCUUGAAGUACAUCGGCUACAGCAUCCUCUGGUGUUUUUGCAUAACCUUGAUUAUCAUAUAUGAUUCGUACUGCUUCACAAUCCGACGUAAUAUACCUGAUUUUGAACACCCAAAGUCAUUUUUAUUAAUCAAGUAAAAAAAAAGUAAAAGUUCACUUUCACAUUUUGGUGAAUGAUACAUUAUAAAUAUGUAGCUUCAAAAAGAGAGAGAACUGAAAAGUUUGAAUUGAAAACUAAGUUUCACCAACUAAGUAGGCCAUUGCUCACACCUUCAAUAGAGUAAAAAACAUUGUUUCAUAAAGGAUAUAUUGUUAAAUAUAUUGUUUAAUUCUUAUAAAAUUUACAUUUUUGUACUCAUUUUUAAAUAUCUAAAAAAUACAAAACUACAUAUUUUGUGUUUCCAAUUUUGUAAUUUGUAUGAACUAAAAAGUAGAUAAAAGUAUUAAAAAAAACAAAGUUGAAAUAUAUAUACCCAUUGAAAUUCCAUUUUUGUCUAGCAGUUUUGGUUAACAGAUUGUAAUCUGCACAGUUUGGAACUCCAUUGACACGGUUGUAAGCACACAUUAUUCCACUGGAUCGUCCUUGUACUAUGCAACUAUGAAAUGGUGGUUGAUACGUAUCCGCCAAAUCUUGCAAAGUAACCUGAAUUAUUAUAACGGAUUUGGAUUAUUUUAAUGGAAAAUUUUUAAAGUUGAAGAAUAUAAGAAUAAGAAUCAUUAGCGUAACAAGAUUUAAUAGUAAUAUCAUAUUAUGAUCAAAUGUAUCCAAAACCACCUCAUGAUCCAAAGCUAUGUAAGACAUUGUUCAAGUUCCAAGCAUUGAUCAACGGCAUAAAACAAGGCAAUUCAAAAUGUAAAACAAAAAGACAAAACAUGAUAUGCACAACUCAACAAACAAAACAAAAAGACAAUCCAACGUCUUCAUAUAUAAGUAAACAAACAAGAACUUGGUUACUUUCUCUGUUUUUAUUCAGGUAUCAAUUUUUUUCAAAAUUUUGCUAUUACCUAUUUAUCAUAUUUUAAUUUCAUUAUUAAAUUAAGUAUUCUUUUGCCAAUAAUACCUACUAUAACUAAAUUAUAUUGAUGCAGUAAGAUAAUUGGAGCUGUAUUAUGCAAGAAAUGAUUCAAGUUCCAAGCAUUCAUCAACUGACAUAAAACAAGGAAAUUCAAAAUAAAAAUAACAAACAGACAAAACAUGCUCUGCUGCACAGCACAACAAGCAAAACUAAAAGACAAAUCCAACGACGGCUUUGUCUAAUAAGCACAAAUAAAAUGGUUUUGUAUCAUGCACAAAUAUCUUUUCUACAUUUGACUAAUAAAUCACUUUAUACAUCUUUCAAUUUAACGAUAAGAUUUAUUGAUCUAAUGGUGAAAAUUAGUUUGUGCAUGAUGCAAGAUUUAUCUCACAUGUUCACCGCAUAAUUAAUCAUCCAAGGACUAUAUGCCAUAGAGAAAAGAAAACUUACUUUGGCAUCAAAAUCAAAACGGUCCAAACCCUUCCAAUUAUCCAAAUCAUAGGCAGUAAAAUGUUUGCAACAAGCAGAAGCUUUAAGACGAUCUCCAAUCAGUUUUCCACCUUCAAAGGAAUCUCCUUGAAGUCCUCUUACAUAGGAAACACCAUACUUUGAAUUCACCAAAGGAUCUUCACCAGCUGUUUCUUGUCCUCUUCCCCAUCUUGGGUCCCUAAAUAUGUUUAUGUUUGGUGCCCAAAACGUCAUCCCUUGAGCUUGUCCAGCAUUGUACACUCCUCUAGCCUCAGUUCCAAUCACCUACAUACAAUUUAAUUAAGAUAAAAAAGCAUAAUUUUUUUUUUUUGAAAACCAAACAUCAGCUCAAUGACCAAAUAUUGUGGAGGAUCAAUUCCACCCUUCACAAUUAAAAUCACCCAAAUCUCAAAGUCACCCAAGUAUUUUCCUCACUAACAAUGGGUCUAUUAAAAGUUAUAGCAAAAUUUUGUAUAGACUAUUCAAACCCGAGACCAUUAGAAUUGUAUACUCGAAGGUCUCAAGCCUAUACCACCAGACCAAGUCAUCUCCAGUGAUGAUAAAAAUUCACUAAUAUAAUAUGUUUUCUUAUUAUAAAAACUGAAAUCAAGUAAUUAAUAUAUCUUAAAAUAAUCCAAAAAAAACUAAAAUCUUUAAAUUAGAUAAAAAUACAAAAAAUUCUUAUUAUGAUAAGAAAUGAGAAGUACCGUCCUCGUGAGCUUAACUCAAUUGAUAUGGACAAUACAUAAUAAUACAUAAGGUUGGAGUUUGAACCCCGGCAACCAAAAAAAAAAUGAGAAGUACUAAAAAUGAAUUUUAAACAUGGAUUAAAAGAGUUACUGACCUUACUGAUUUGGUACCAAAGUUUAGAAUCAAAAGAAGCAGCCGUAAGAAUAACUUGAGGGAAACUAGUAGCACCUGCAACACUGCCAUUCAAUCUUAUCCCUUUACCAGCAUUAGCAACACCGUGCAACGCUUCAUCCCACCAUUGGUAACUCGGUAUACCGAGUCGAGGAAUGGAAGGAGCUGUGUUAACGAGUUGAGAGAUUUUCUCAUCCAAUGUGAGCCGUGACACAAUGUCUUUGGCUCUUUGAGUGAUGGUAAGGUUGAGAUUGCAGAAGGGUAAGGAUUUUGUAAGUGGGUUGGUGGUGUCACAGGAGUAUGGAGGUACAUGAGUUGGUGAAUCGGCAUGAACGAGUCGGUGGUAGCGAGUUAGGAAGAGAAAAAUGAAAGAGAUGAAGGUAAUGGUGAUGGAAAAGUGACCCAUGCUGUGAGGGG